This 736-nucleotide ribosomal RNA is filed under the name Acinetobacter baumannii. RNAcentral's name for it is "partial 23S ribosomal RNA". It matches the Rfam family "Bacterial large subunit ribosomal RNA", at positions 857 to 1593 of the family's 2925-position model. Lineage: Bacteria; Pseudomonadati; Pseudomonadota; Gammaproteobacteria; Moraxellales; Moraxellaceae. The record is from RNAcentral.
UCCCCGRAAGCUAUUUAGGUAGCGCCUCGGACGAAUACCAUAGGGGGUAGAGCACUGUUUCGGCUAGGGGUCAUCCCGACUUACCAAACCGAUGCAAACUCCGAAUACCUAUGAGUACUAUCCGGGAGACAGACUGCGGGUGCUAACGUCCGUAGUCAAGAGGAAAACAAUCCAGACCGCCAGCUAAGGCCCCAAAAUCAUAGUUAAGUGGGAAACGAUGUGGGAAGGCAUAGACAGCUAGGAGGUUGGCUUAGAAGCAGCCACCCUUUAAAGAAAGCGUAAUAGCUCACUAGUCGAGUCGGCCUGCGCGGAAGAUGUAACGGGGCUAAAACUAUGUGCCGAAGCUGCGGAUUUGACAUUAGUCAAGUGGUAGGGGAGCGUUCUGUAAGCCGAUGAAGGUGUAUUGAGAAGUAUGCUGGAGGUAUCAGAAGUGCGAAUGCUGACGUGAGUAACGACAAAACGGGUGAAAAACCCGUUCGCCGAAAGACCAAGGGUUCCAGUCCAACGUUAAUCGGGGCUGGGUGAGUCGACCCCUAAGGCGAGGCCGAAAGGCGUAGUCGAUGGGAAAAUGGUUAAUAUUCCAUUACUUCUGUGUAAUGCGAUGAGAGGACGGAGAAGGCUAAAUCAGCCUGGCGUUGGUUGUCCAGGUGAAAGGAUGUAGGCAUGUAUCUUAGGCAAAUCCGGGGGUACUCUAUGCUGAGAUCUGAUAGCAAGCUGUACUUGUACAGCGAAGUGG